AGAUGCAGGAAAAAUCAAAGAUAGACAAAAAUGCUGGUGAAUCUCAGUGGGUGCGGUAGCAUCCAUGGAGCAAAUGAAAUAGUCAACGUUUCGAUGCCGAAACCCUUCUUCAGACCUGAAGAAGGGUUUUGGCCCGAAACGUUGCCUA
This is a long non-coding RNA of Amblyraja radiata (thorny skate), 148 nucleotides long. RefSeq lists it as uncharacterized. Lineage: Eukaryota; Metazoa; Chordata; Chondrichthyes; Rajiformes; Rajidae. The transcript has 3 exons. The record is from RefSeq and is a predicted model, not a curated record.